RNAcentral lists this non-coding RNA (45 nucleotides) under Schistosoma haematobium. The record is from RNAcentral. Lineage: Eukaryota; Metazoa; Platyhelminthes; Trematoda; Strigeidida; Schistosomatidae.
AUCUAGCUGACGAUUCCAAAAUAGAACGAAACGUGCGUCCUGGAU